Molecule: transfer-messenger RNA, 354 nt
Filed under: bacterium
Lineage: Bacteria
Also listed under: 1 other name
Description: GCA-020346225 sp020351995 Standard tmRNA
Rfam family: transfer-messenger RNA
About the family: Bacterial tmRNA, also known as 10Sa RNA or SsrA, is named for its dual tRNA and mRNA-like properties. Its role is to liberate the mRNA from a stalled ribosome.
Source: RNAcentral
GGGGGUGACUUGGUUUCGACGGGUUUAGCGAGGGAUCGUUGGCGUGUCGGGGUUGUCUGGGGCCCCGUCAACAAACCGGGCAAAUCGACAAUUGGCAACUCGUAUGCCAUGGCUGCCUAAUUAAGGCAACCCGUUGUACCCAGGGCUUUGUCUUCGAGUCCGGGCUACAGCGUCGAUAAAAGAAGACUCGGCUUUUCAAUGUCUAUAAGAUAAGCCUAAACUAAAUAGACUGGCCCUGUCAGUGGUCUGUCGGUCGACAGCGGGCAGGGCGAGAAUAUAAAGACCUGACUACACACGUAGAAGACGGUUCGGCGUUAUAUUCGGACGGGGGUUCGAUUCCCCCCACCUCCACCA